CCUACGGGAGGCAGCAGUGGGGAAUAUUGGGCAAUGGGCGCAACCCUGACCCAGCAACGCCGCGUGAAGGAAGAAGGCCCUCGGAUUGUAAACUUCUUUUGUCAGGGACGAAUAAAAUGACGGUACUUGAUGAAUAAGCCACGGCUAACUACGUGCCAGCAGCCGCGGUAAUACGUAGGUGGCAAGCGUUAUCCGGAUUGACUGGGUGUAAAGGGCGCGUAGGCGGUACUGCAAGUCAGAUGUGAAAACCAUGGGCUCAACCCCUGGGCUGCAUUUAAAACUGUAAUUCUUGAGUGUUGGAGAGGUUAGUGGAAUUCCGUGUGUAGCGGUGGAAUGCGUAGAUAUAAGGAGGAACACCAGUGGCGAAGGCGGCUUACUGGACUGUAACUGACGUUGAGGCACGAAAGCGUGGGGAGCAAACAGGAUUAGAUACCCGAGUAGUC
Molecule: ribosomal RNA, 443 nt
Filed under: uncultured bacterium
Lineage: Bacteria
Description: partial 16S ribosomal RNA
Rfam family: Bacterial small subunit ribosomal RNA
Source: RNAcentral